UCCCAGGUGGUCUAGUGGUUAAGAUUCGUGGCUCUCACUCACGCGGCCCGGAUUCGAUUCCCGUUCUGGGAA
Molecule: non-coding RNA, 72 nt
Organism: Ciona savignyi (Pacific transparent sea squirt)
Lineage: Eukaryota; Metazoa; Chordata; Ascidiacea; Phlebobranchia; Cionidae
Source: Rfam